RNAcentral lists this ribosomal RNA (253 nucleotides) under uncultured bacterium. RNAcentral describes it as "partial 16S ribosomal RNA". It matches the Rfam family "Bacterial small subunit ribosomal RNA", at positions 524 to 776 of the family's 1533-position model. The record is from RNAcentral.
UACGAAGGGGGCUAGCGUUGUUCGGAAUCACUGGGCGUAAAGCGCACGCAGGCGGAUCGGUAAGUCGGGGGUGAAAGCCCGGGGCUUAACCUCGGAAUUGCCUUCGAUACUGCCGUUCUCGAGUCCGGGAGAGGUGAGUGGAAUUCCUAGUGUAGAGGUGAAAUACGUAGAUAUUAGGUAGAACACCAGUGGCGAAGGCGGCUCACUGGCCCGGUACUGACGCUCAGGUGCGAAAGCGUGGGGAGCAACCAGG